This 439-nucleotide ribosomal RNA is filed under the name uncultured bacterium. RNAcentral's name for it is "partial 16S ribosomal RNA". It matches the Rfam family "Bacterial small subunit ribosomal RNA", at positions 338 to 795 of the family's 1533-position model. The record is from RNAcentral.
CCUACGGGAGGCAGCAGUGGGGAAUAUUGCACAAUGGGCGAAAGCCUGAUGCAGCAACGCCGCGUGAGCGAUGAAGGCCUUCGGGUCGUAAAGCUCUGUCCUCUAGGAAGAUAAUGACGGUACUUGAGGUGGAAGCACCGGCUAACUACGUGCCAGCAGCCGCGGUAAUUCGUAGGGGGCUAGCGUUUUCCGGAAUUACUGGGCGUAAAGGGGGCGUAGGUGGUUUCUUAAGUCAGAGGUGAAGGGCUACGGCUCAACCGUAAUAAGCCGUUGAAACUGGGGAACUUGAGUGCAGGAGAGGUGAGUGGAAUUCCUGGUGUAGCGGUGAAAUGCGUAGAUAUUAGGAGGAACACCAGUUGCGAAGGCGGCUCUCUGGACUGUAACUGACACUGAGGCACGAAAGCGUGGGGAGCAAACAGGAUUAGAUACCCCUGUAGUC